AUGCAGUCGAACGGUGAAGCCAAGCUUGCUUGGUGGAUCAGUGGCGAACGGGUGAGUAACACGUGAGCAACCUGCCCUGAACUCUGGGAUAAGCGCUGGAAACGGUGUCUAAUACUGGAUAUGAGCUGCGGAGGCAUCUUCGUGGUUGGAAAGAUUUUUCGGUUUGGGAUGGGCUCGCGGCCUAUCAGCUUGUUGGUGAGGUAAUGGCUCACCAAGGCGUCGACGGGUAGCCGGCCUGAGAGGGUGACCGGCCACACUGGGACUGAGACACGGCCCAGACUCCUACGGGAGGCAGCAGUGGGGAAUAUUGCACAAUGGGCGGAAGCCUGAUGCAGCAACGCCGCGUGAGGGAUGACGGCCUUCGGGUUGUAAACCUCUUUUAGCAGGNAAGAAGCGAAAGUGACGGUACCUGCAGAAAAAGCGCCGGCUAACUACGUGCCAGCAGCCGCGGUAAUACGUAGGGCGCAAGCGUUAUCCGGAAUUAUUGGGCGUAAAGAGCUCGUAGGCGGUUUGUCGCGUCUGCUGUGAAAUCUGGGGGCUCAACCCCCAGCCUGCAGUGGGUACGGGCAGACUAGAGUGCGGUAGGGGAGAUUGGAAUUCCUGGUGUAGCGGUGGAAUGCGCAGAUAUCAGGAGGAACACCGAUGGCGAAGGCAGAUCUCUGGGCCGUAACUGACGCUGAGGAGCGAAAGGGUGGGGAGCAAACAGGCUUAGAUACCCUGGUAGUCCACCCCGUAAACGUUGGGAACUAGUUGUGGGGUCCAUUCCACGGAUUCCGUGACGCAGCUAACGCAUUAAGUUCCCCGCCUGGGGAGUACGGCCGCAAGGCUAAAACUCAAAGGAAUUGACGGGGACCCGCACAAGCGGCGGAGCAUGCGGANUUAAUUCGAUGCAMCGCGAAGAACCUUACCAAGGCUUGACAUACACGAGAACGCUGCARAAAUGUAGAACUCUUUGGACACUCSUGAACAGGUGGUGCAUGGUUGUCGUCASCUCGUGUCGUGAGAUGUUGGGUUAAGUCCCGCAACGAGCGCAACCCUCGUUCUAUGUUGCCAGCACGUAAUGGUGGGAACUCAUGGGAUACUGCCGGGGUCAACUCGGAGGAAGGUGGGGAUGACGUCAAAUCAUCAUGCCCCUUAUGUCUUGGGCUUCACGCAUGCUACAAUGGCCGGUACAAAGGGCUGCAAUACCGCGAGGUGGAGCGAAUCCCAAAAAGCCGGUCCCAGUUCGGAUUGAGGUCUGCAACUCGACCUCAUGAAGUCGGAGUCGCUAGUAAUCGCAGAUCAGCAACGCUGCGGUGAAUACGUUCCCGGGUCUUGUACACACCGCCCGUCAAGUCAUGAAAGUCGGUAACACCUGAAGCCGGUGGCCCAACCCUGUG
RNAcentral lists this ribosomal RNA (1379 nucleotides) under Microbacterium aurantiacum. RNAcentral describes it as "bacterial SSU rRNA". The record is from RNAcentral. Lineage: Bacteria; Bacillati; Actinomycetota; Actinomycetes; Micrococcales; Microbacteriaceae.